RNAcentral lists this ribosomal RNA (220 nucleotides) under uncultured bacterium. RNAcentral's name for it is "partial 16S ribosomal RNA". It matches the Rfam family "Bacterial small subunit ribosomal RNA", at positions 30 to 249 of the family's 1533-position model. The record is from RNAcentral.
AUUGAACGCUGGCGGCAUGCCUUACACAUGCAAGUCGAGCGGCAGCGCGGGGGCAACCCUGGCGGCGAGCGGCGGACGGGUGAGUAAUGCAUCGGAACGUGUCCUCUUGUGGGGGAUAACCAGUCGAAAGACUGGCUAAUACCGCAUGAGCUCGUAAGAGGAAAGCAGGGGACCCGCAAGGGCCUUGCGCGAGAGGAGCGGCCGAUGCCCGAUUAGCAGU